RNAcentral lists this long non-coding RNA (651 nucleotides) under Homo sapiens (human). Its description in RNAcentral is "non-protein coding lnc-FZD4-9:1". Lineage: Eukaryota; Metazoa; Chordata; Mammalia; Primates; Hominidae. The record is from RNAcentral.
GGCCAUUGCUCCAGUGGUCAGUUCCCUUCAGUCCCACAAGAAGCUUCCUAAUUAGCACCAAGGGAGAGGUUGUGACACAGGCAAGUGGACGAAGCUCCCUGAGAGUAAAGGACAUUGCUUUUCAUUACCUAUGAAAUGUAGAGCACACAGAAGCUCAGGGAUAUGAUAAAAUAUAAGCAGGAAACAAUUACGUCAGCAUUAACAACUAAAUGAAAUGUUAGCCUAGAUACAAUCUACAAGGAGACGAACACUCGAGCACAACAAGAAAAUACUGUGUGACAUUUGCUCAGUUUGGAUUCCAUCAAAAACAUACAUGUUCAGUCUAAUAAAAGUUCAUUAUAAAAUCUGAGAGCCAAAAAAAUAUAAAAUUCUAAAUUAAAUAACAACUGACUAAACAACGAAUGAAGGCAAAAAAUAAACUAGAUAUCAACUGAGUGAUGACUAUGCUUAUAGUUCAAGAAAAAAGUUACAGAAGCAAAAGCAGAAUUUAUGGGAAAAUAAAACUAAACCAAAGGUGUUACUUCAAAAAUGAGUAAUAAAAUGGAUCCUGAAAUUAUUUGAUGAAAAACUGCUGAGAAUUGAAUAGAUUUGAGACAAUCUGUUAUCUUGCAAACUCAAUCUUUACUCGGUUGCUACUAGUUCUAGGAUUUU